UACUCUAGGAUACUGCGCACAUAUGCAC
This 28-nucleotide non-coding RNA is filed under the name Bombyx mori (domestic silkworm). The record is from RNAcentral. Lineage: Eukaryota; Metazoa; Arthropoda; Insecta; Lepidoptera; Bombycidae.